Dermacentor albipictus is the source of this 527-nucleotide long non-coding RNA. RefSeq lists it as uncharacterized. Lineage: Eukaryota; Metazoa; Arthropoda; Arachnida; Ixodida; Ixodidae. The record is from RefSeq and is a predicted model, not a curated record.
CUCGCUUUGAGACUUGUAUUAGCGUUUGCUUACAUUGUAUUUUCCGCUUUGUGCAAGAGAUGGCGCUCUAAGUCUUGCCGCGGCUGCCGAACCUCCAGUCAAACAUGGCUUCCUCCAGCCCGCGCGCGCGUUUUCAUCCCCGCGGAAAGUACCUCACGGACGAAGAAAUCCAGGCUCUUUUGGAGCAGAGUAAUGCGGAUUUGUCAGGCUGUGAUGAACGAGAGAGUGCAUCGACAACUCCGCACAAAGUUUGGACGAAUCCAGCCGAGAAUGCAACUCGACGAUAGUGACGAUCAACCGAACCAGCCUUCAACUGCAGACUGCAUGUGGAAAACUCAAACAGAGUGAUGAACAGUCUACACCUCCCAAGAGAGCCAAGGUGAUUCCUCUGCCUUCAGACAAGGUGCGCUACGACAGGACUGGACACUUUCCAGAACAUGAAAAGCUGAAGUCCCUGAUGAAGUGUCGGAACCCGCAGCCAAAGAGAAGUCGCCAGUAAAAUGCCGAUAAAUGUAACGUGUUUCUUU